AUUGAACGCUGGCGGCAUGCCUUACACAUGCAAGUMGAACGACUCAGGGGGCAACUCCUGGCGAGUGGCGAACGGGUGAGUAAUACAUCGGAACGUGUCCUGCGUGGGGGAUAACCAGUCGAAAGACUGGCUAAUACCGCAUGAGAUCUAAAGAUGAAAGCGGGGACCCGAGGGUAACUUCGGGCCUCGCGCGAUAGGAGCGGCCGAUGCCGGAUUAGCUGUUGGUGGGGUAAAAGCCUACCAAGGCGACGAUCCGUAGCUGGUUUGAGAGAACGACCACCACACUGGGACUGAGACACGGCCCAGACUCCUACGGGAGGCAGCAGUGGGGAAUUUUGACAAUGGGCGCAAGCCUGAUCCAGCCAUGCCGCGUGUGUGAAGAAGGCCUUCKGGUUGUAAGCACUUUCGGACGGAACGAAAUCGCGCUGGCGAAUAUCCAGCGUGGAUGACGGUACCUAAGAAGAAGCACCGGCUAACUACGUGCCAGCAGCCGCGGUAAUACGUAGGGUGCGAGCUUAAUCGGUAUUUCUGGGCGUAAUGCGUGCGCAGGUGGCGUCGCAAGUCAGGCGUGAUACCCCGGGCUUAACCUGGGAAUGGCGCUUGAAACUACGAUGCUGGGGUGCGGCAGAGGGNGUGGNAUUNCACGUGUAGCGGUGAUAUGCGUAGAGAUGUGGAGGACANCGNUGGCGAAGCAGNCCUCCUGGGUCG
Molecule: ribosomal RNA, 708 nt
Filed under: uncultured Lake Michigan sediment bacterium LMBA33
Lineage: Bacteria; Pseudomonadati; Pseudomonadota; Betaproteobacteria
Description: bacterial SSU rRNA
Rfam family: Bacterial small subunit ribosomal RNA
Source: RNAcentral